AUGGGGUACUCUUGGGUUGUGGGUAAUGGCAAGAAAAUUCGUUUUUGGGAGGACCAGUGGUUUGGUACUGCGCCACUAUCCACUCAAUUUUGGGGCUUGUAUUCUUUGGCUAAUGAUCACAACAUCUCUAUUUAUAAAAUUUGGGAUGGGGUUGAUCUAAAGAUCACCUUUAGGAGAUGUCUGGGGGGUGAUCUUUUGUCUGACUGGAUGGACCUUGUCUCUAUUGCUAGUACUAUUGCCUUUAAAGAUUGUGAGGAUACUCCAGUCUGGAAGUACAGUGCAAAUGGACAAUAUUCAGUUAAAUCUUUUUACAAUAUUGUGAACUUUAGGGGAGUCCUCCCCAUCCACACACAGUAUGUGUGGAAGCUAAAGAUUCCCUAGAGUACAAAUUUUUUUUUAUGGCUGGUUUAUAAUAACAAGAUUUUAACGAGAGAUAACCUUGUUAAGAGACAGCAUGUCCCUGACAUGACUUGCAUGUUUUGCUCUGAACCAGAAUCUUGCCAUCAUUUAUUUUUUGAAUGUUUAGUGUCGAUUGAACUCUGGAGAGUUAUUGGAGACAUAUCAGGAGCUGGCAAGGUCUCUAAUAUUGAGAACCUUGCGGCCUGGUGGGUUUCCAAUAAGAAACAUGCAGUUGUGAAUGCUUUGCAUGCCGCUGCAGUGUGGUCUCUCUGGAAAAUCAGGAAUAACCUGUGUUUCAAUCGCUCUGUGUGGUCUGGAAUGCAGGAAUUAUGGAGACAGGUGGCUAUGGAGCUGUUCUCAAACGAUGCAAAAAUCCAGGUUACUGCGAUGGUGAAAAACCUCGAGAAGCUUGCCAGAGAUCCUCCUAUGCUGAUUUGGAAAAUGCUUGUCACACUGGUUUCGUUGUUUUUGCAAUGGAACCGGGGCUGCCUGCCCUUUUGCUCUAAAAAAAACAGUCCCUAA
RNAcentral lists this ribosomal RNA (921 nucleotides) under Triticum aestivum (bread wheat). RNAcentral's name for it is "partial small subunit ribosomal RNA". Lineage: Eukaryota; Viridiplantae; Streptophyta; Magnoliopsida; Poales; Poaceae. The record is from RNAcentral.